RNAcentral lists this ribosomal RNA (441 nucleotides) under uncultured bacterium. Its description in RNAcentral is "partial 16S ribosomal RNA". It matches the Rfam family "Bacterial small subunit ribosomal RNA", at positions 338 to 795 of the family's 1533-position model. The record is from RNAcentral.
CCUACGGGAGGCAGCAGUCGGGAAUAUUGCGCAAUGGAGGAAACUCUGACGCAGUGACGCCGCGUAUAGGAAGAAGGUCUUCGGAUUGUAAACUAUUGUCGUUAGGGAAGAAAAAGGACAGUACCUAAGGAGGAAGCUCCGGCUAACUACGUGCCAGCAGCCGCGGUAAUACGUAGGGAGCAAGCGUUAUCCGGAUUUAUUGGGUGGAAAGGGGGCGUAGACGGGAAUUUAAGUUAGGUGUGAAAUCCCUCGGCUCAACUGGGGAACUUCAACUAAAAACUGAUUUAUGUAGGGCCUGAGAGGAAAGCGGAAUUCCUAGUGUAGCGGUGAAAUGCGUAGAUAUUAGGAGGAACACCAGUGGCGAAGGCGGCUUUCUGGACAGUAACUGACGUUGAGGCACGAAAGUGUGGGGAGCAAACAGGAUUAGAUACCCGGGUAGUC